RNAcentral lists this ribosomal RNA (120 nucleotides) under Ictidomys tridecemlineatus (thirteen-lined ground squirrel). Lineage: Eukaryota; Metazoa; Chordata; Mammalia; Rodentia; Sciuridae. The record is from RNAcentral.
GUCUAUGGCCAUACCACCCUGAACAUACCGGAUCUUGUCUGAUUUCAGAAGCUAAGCGGGGUCGGACCACAUUCAGUACUUAGAUGGGAGACUGGCCCAGAAUAUUGAGUACUGUAAGCU